AGGAAACAUCGUUGAUGGAGUUUUCAAGUUGGGAAGAUGUUUUGCGGAAAGCAUCAAUUGAGAUGAUGGUGAAGAUGCGCUUCUUGAUGUUGUUUGGGCGGCACUUGAGGAUCAAUGAAAGGGUUUCAUUGAGUAUAUGUUCGGUUUGCUCGAGGAUCAGCCACAUCGGACGCUGCAUAUAGAGUUCAGAGCUCGUCGGUGCUGCUAGCCGGAGAAGAUCAGAUAGCUUCUUUGCUUUUGAUUUGAGUUCCCCACAAUAUUGUUUGAAAGGGAUUGGCACAUCUGGUGUGUUAUUUACUUCGUCUGCCAGCUCAAUUGACUUUGCCAAUUUUUGCUUCAGAUUGUCACCCAUUGAUAGUUAGUUUGGUUUUGAGGUCUUAAAGGGAUAGCUUAGGAGAUGAUUGGCAACAGAAACAGUUUCUCAAGUCAAACGAAUCAAAAGAGCUUUCUAGUUAGAAAUGAAUGGACACACACAUACACACUAAAGUGGAUGGCAUUGAUUUACCAAGUCAAACGUGCUUUCUAGUUCUAUCUAUCUAAC
RNAcentral lists this long non-coding RNA (541 nucleotides) under Medicago truncatula (barrel medic). RNAcentral describes it as "long non-coding RNA (MTRU_LNC007410)". The record is from RNAcentral. Lineage: Eukaryota; Viridiplantae; Streptophyta; Magnoliopsida; Fabales; Fabaceae.